Molecule: ribosomal RNA, 436 nt
Filed under: uncultured Lachnospiraceae bacterium
Lineage: Bacteria; Bacillati; Bacillota; Clostridia; Lachnospirales; Lachnospiraceae
Description: partial 16S ribosomal RNA
Rfam family: Bacterial small subunit ribosomal RNA
Source: RNAcentral
ACGGGAGGCAGCAGUGGGGAAUAUUGGGCAAUGGGCGCAAGCCUGACCCAGCAACGCCGCGUGAGGGAAGAAGGUUUUCGGAUUGUAAACCUCUGUCCUUGGUGACGAAAAGAUGACGGUAGCCAAGGAGGAAGCCCCGGCUAAAUACGUGCCAGCAGCCGCGGUAAUACGUAUGGUGCAAGCGUUAUCCGGAUUUACUGGGUGUAAAGGGAGCGUAGACGGCAUGGCAAGCCAGAUGUGAAAGGCAGGGGCUCAACUCCUGGACUGCAUUUGGAACUGUCAAGCUAGAGUAUCGGAGAGGUAAGUGGAAUUCCUAGUGUAGCGGUGAAAUGCGUAGAUAUUAGGAGGAACACCAGUGGCGAAGGCGGCUUGCUGGACGAUAACUGACGUUGAGGCUCGAAAGCGUGGGGAGCAAACAGGAUUAGAUACCCUGGUA